Bufo bufo (common toad) is the source of this 211-nucleotide long non-coding RNA. RefSeq lists it as uncharacterized. NCBI's taxonomy places the organism in Eukaryota, Metazoa, Chordata, Amphibia, Anura, Bufonidae. The transcript has 4 exons. The record is from RefSeq and is a predicted model, not a curated record.
GGUCAAUGUUAAAGGUGCGGGCACUGUGGAGGUCACUGUUAAAGGGGUGUUCACUGUGGAGGUCACUCCUAAAGGGUCAGGCACUGUGCAGGUAACUGUUUAAGAUGCGGUCAUUGUUAAAGGGGAGGUCACUGUGGAAGUCACUGUUAAAGUGGGGGGCACUGUGGAGGUCACCGUUAAAGGGGCGGGCACUGUGGAGGUCACUGUUAAA